Molecule: ribosomal RNA, 606 nt
Filed under: uncultured eukaryote
Lineage: Eukaryota
Description: SSU rRNA
Rfam family: Eukaryotic small subunit ribosomal RNA
Source: RNAcentral
CGGUAAUUCCAGCUCCACUAGUAUAAAUCGUCAUUGCUGCGGUUAAAAAGCUCGUAGUUGGAUUUGAGGCACGUACAGCGGUUCGGCUCUGCCGUUAAUCACUGUUGUGUCUAAUUUGUUGGUUUUCUGUUGGUAACUUCGGUUCCUUCAGUGGCUAGCAAGUUUACCUUGAUCAAAUCAAAGCGCUCAAAGCAGGCGAUUGCUUGCAUUUGGGAUCAUGGAAUAAUAAAAUAGGAUUUCGAUUCUAUUUAUUGGUUUAGAAUUGAAUUAAUGAUUAAGAGAGACAAUUCGGGAGCAUUCGUAUCCCUGCGCGAGAGGUGAAAUUCGUGGACCGCAGGGGGACGUCCAAAAGCGAAAGCAUUUGCCAAGAAUGUCUUCAUUAAUCAAGAACCGAAAGUCAGAAGGUUCCGAAAGGCGAUUAGAUACCGCCCUAAGUUCUGACCGUAAACUAUUGCCAUCUAGCGAUCCGAUAGGGUAUUCAUGCCUUGUCGGGGAGCUUCCCGGAAACGAAAGUUUUUCGGUUCCCGGGGGUAGUAUGGUUGCAAAGCUGAAACUUAAAGAAAUUUGACCGAAGGGCACCACCAGGAGUGGAAGCCUGCGGCUUAA